This 383-nucleotide long non-coding RNA is filed under the name Brassica napus (rape). Its description in RNAcentral is "long non-coding RNA (BNAP_LNC012664)". The record is from RNAcentral. Lineage: Eukaryota; Viridiplantae; Streptophyta; Magnoliopsida; Brassicales; Brassicaceae.
CUCAGCCAUUUUAUAAACGUCUUGCCCCUUCGGAUUAUACGCCAAGGCAUUAGUAAAAGUCAACCUAACGUCUGAAGCGAAAUCAACGGGAGAUCUAUAAAACCCCUUUUCAAGAUUCGUCUUCACAGUACCAAGAUCCAUAGGCUUCUUCACGAUCAGAUGAUAGUCGUGAAGCCCUAACCCCAACACGUCAACAGGCGUGUUGAACACCCACGACCACUUGAAGAUCCAUAGGCUUCUUCACGAUCAGAUGAUAGUCGUGAAGCCCCAACCCUAACACGUCGACAGGCGUGUUGAACACCCACGACCACUUAUGCUUCAUCAGCUUCGCCAAGAUCUGACCGCACGUCGACAUCGUGCUCCUCAACGCCUUCUCCGACUCC